GUUGAGGUAGCCGAGAUGGUCUAAGGCGCACGAGAUUAAGGUAGGUUCUGUCCGAGAGGGCGUGGGUUCGAAUCCCAGUUUCAGCA
RNAcentral lists this transfer RNA (86 nucleotides) under Salix viminalis (osier). It matches the Rfam family "tRNA". Rfam says of the family: Transfer RNA (tRNA) molecules are approximately 80 nucleotides in length. Lineage: Eukaryota; Viridiplantae; Streptophyta; Magnoliopsida; Malpighiales; Salicaceae. The record is from RNAcentral.